This 710-nucleotide ribosomal RNA is filed under the name Roseovarius sp. Its description in RNAcentral is "bacterial SSU rRNA". It matches the Rfam family "Bacterial small subunit ribosomal RNA", at positions 36 to 796 of the family's 1533-position model. Lineage: Bacteria; Pseudomonadati; Pseudomonadota; Alphaproteobacteria; Rhodobacterales; Roseobacteraceae. The record is from RNAcentral.
CCCGGGCGCAGCUACACAUGCAGUCGAGCGAGAACUUCGGUUCUAGCGGCGGACGGGUUAGUAACGCGUGGGAACGUGCCCUUCACUACGGAAUAGUCCCGGGAAACUGGGUUUAAUACCGUAUACGCCCUUCGGGGGAAAGAAUUUCGGUGAAGGAUCGGCCCGCGUUAGAUUAGAUAGUUGGUGGGGUAACGGCCUACCAAGUCUACGAUCUAUAGCUGGUUUUAGAGGAUGAUCAGCAACACUGGGACUGAGACACGGCCCAGACUCCUACGGGAGGCAGCAGUGGGGAAUCUUAGACAAUGGGCGCAAGCCUGAUCUAGCCAUGCCGCGUGAGUGAUGAAGGCCUUAGGGUCGUAAAGCUCUUUCGCCAGGGAUGAUAAUGACAGUACCUGGUAAAGAAACCCCGGCUAACUCCGUGCCAGCAGCCGCGGUAAUACGGAGGGGGUUAGCGUUGUUCGGAAUUACUGGGCGUAAAGCGCGCGUAGGCGGAUUGGAAAGUUGGGGGUGAAAUCCCAGGGCUCAACCCUGGAACUGCCUCCAAAACUAUCAGUCUAGAGUUCGAGAGAGGUGAGUGGAACUCCGAGUGUAGAGGUGAAAUUCGUAGAUAUUCGGAAGAACACCAGUGGCGAAGGCGGCUCACUGGCUCGAUACUGACGCUGAGGUGCGAAAGUGUGGGGAGCAAACAGGAUUAGAUACCCUGGUAGUCC